RNAcentral lists this long non-coding RNA (275 nucleotides) under Carica papaya (papaya). RNAcentral describes it as "long non-coding RNA (CPAP_LNC011574)". The record is from RNAcentral. Lineage: Eukaryota; Viridiplantae; Streptophyta; Magnoliopsida; Brassicales; Caricaceae.
ACUGCCUCUUUGUGUUCACGGAGCACCCUAGCCAGUUUUUCUUCUUCAGUUUGGCUUAACCUUUUUGAAGUUAUCACUGGGAGAGUCUCUCAUUCUCCCAAAAAGGCAUACUUUAGGUGUUCUGACAGUAGUUUCAACUCUAAUUUAGGGGUCUGGAAAAUAGAUGGUGGAAGUUUUGUAUGAGAAAUGGGAAGAUCAAGAUAUGGGGUCUUACUUUUCAUCUACUUAAAUGAUUCUAAUUUGAACACAACUUCUUGCAAAUAUUGGUUAGCAAC